UUAAUUGAAGCCAAAAAGAGGCAUAUUACUGUUAAUAAUAUCACUGAAUUUAUUCCAAUUGA
This 62-nucleotide transfer RNA is filed under the name Tridactylus sp. NS-2016. RNAcentral describes it as "tRNA-Asn". Lineage: Eukaryota; Metazoa; Arthropoda; Insecta; Orthoptera; Tridactylidae. The record is from RNAcentral.